GAUGAACGCUGGCGGCGUGCCUAAUACAUGCAAGUCGAGCGAACAGAUAAGGAGCUUGCUCCUUUGACGUUAGCGGCGGACGGGUGAGUAACACGUGGGUAACCUACCUAUAAGACUGGGAUAACUUCGGGAAACCGGAGCUAAUACCGGAUAACAUUUGGAACCGCAUGGUUCUAAAGUGAAAGAUGGUUUUGCUAUCACUUAUAGAUGGACCCGCGCCGUAUUAGCUAGUUGGUAAGGUAACGGCUUACCAAGGCGACGAUACGUAGCCGACCUGAGAGGGUGAUCGGCCACACUGGAACUGAGACACGGUCCAGACUCCUACGGGAGGCAGCAGUAGGGAAUCUUCCGCAAUGGGCGAAAGCCUGACGGAGCAACGCCGCGUGAGUGAUGAGGGGUUUCGGCUCGUAAAACUCUGUUAUUAGGGAAGAACAAAUGUGUAAGUAACUGUGCACGUCUUGACGGUACCUAAUCAGAAAGCCACGGCUAACUACGUG
This 497-nucleotide ribosomal RNA is filed under the name uncultured bacterium. Its description in RNAcentral is "partial 16S ribosomal RNA". It matches the Rfam family "Bacterial small subunit ribosomal RNA", at positions 28 to 507 of the family's 1533-position model. The record is from RNAcentral.